CAAUAGCGUAUAUUAAAGUUGUUGCAGUUAAAAAGCUCGUAGUCGGACCUCUGGCAGCGCGUGGACGGUCCGCCGCAAGGUGUGCACUGUGCGGCGCUGCCAUCCUCUCGAGGACCCUUGGUGCUCUUCACUGAGUGCUCUGGGGACUCGGGACCUUUACUUUGAAAAAAUUAGAGUGUUCAAAGCAGGCCUUUUCGCUUGAAUACAUUAGCAUGGAAUAAUUGGAUUGGGCUUCUGCUCCAACUUGCUGGUUCCUGGAGCUGAAGUGAGAAUCAAUGGGGAUUGUUGGGGGCAUCUGAAUUUAGCCGUCAGAGGUGAAAUUCUUGGAUCUGCUAAAGACGGACAAGUGCGAAAGCGCUCGCCCAGGAUGUUUNCAUUGA
RNAcentral lists this ribosomal RNA (380 nucleotides) under uncultured eukaryote. RNAcentral's name for it is "partial 18S ribosomal RNA". It matches the Rfam family "Eukaryotic small subunit ribosomal RNA", at positions 592 to 976 of the family's 1831-position model. The record is from RNAcentral.